Eucalyptus grandis is the source of this 850-nucleotide long non-coding RNA. RefSeq lists it as uncharacterized. The record is from RefSeq and is a predicted model, not a curated record. NCBI's taxonomy places the organism in Eukaryota, Viridiplantae, Streptophyta, Magnoliopsida, Myrtales, Myrtaceae. The transcript has 4 exons.
UCUAUAAAUUAUGGUUUGCGACCGUCUCUCCAAUUCCAGGCAAUUCUAGAGAGAACUGAGAAUGAUGAAGUCUUCCAAAGCAGUUAUCUCCUUUUUUUGUUAACCCUCCUGUUGUUCUCCGACAUGUCUCGAGCUGCUCGGCCGGCACCGGCUGGAGCCGAUGUGGCAAGAACUCGACCCGAGGUAGAUUGUCUCCUGUUUCCCGAAAACAAAAAACCGUGUUGCUAGGCACUUCAAGACUUCUCAUGAGUCGCACCACUACCGGCGCACUCGUAGUCUUACCCAAGUUCAUUGCCAUCCAACUCCCUCCCCUUUCCUCUCUUCCCAUCCCUGCAUAAUCUUCCGCCUCCACCGUUUCCAUCAUCCUGCCGCCAUCAACCUUUUGAGACAUCCCGAAGCUCAGCUUCUGGCGUACGCACAACUUAACAGCAGUGUUGCUGGUGUUUCGUUCCUUUAUGUGCGUCGAAGCUAAUCUAAGACCAGCUCAAGCACACAAGUCCAAGAGAGAGAUUAAGGGCCCAAGAGAGAGAAAAUUAUGCCUCAGAUUAUCAACAAGGUAUUGGUGCUACUGACCGGGAAUGUGGAAAGACCGGAAGAACUUAAACCUGGGGACCACAUCUAUACUUAUAGGCGAUAUGGCUUAUACAGCCAUCAUGUAGUUGUAUCUGCUUGAGUGAUCAUUUCAGGGUUCAUCAGAUCUCACCAUUCCAGGGCUGUUCAGGCGGCUGAUUUUAAUCACACAUGAAUUGCAAAAAGAAACAAGUCAACAAACAAAACGGGCUACAAUAGAGAUUAAACUUUGAUGGUUGAUUCUUUCGGUUAAGCAAAUAAAGAAAUAAGUUGAUGUAUG